GACGAACGCUGGCGGCGUGCUUAACACAUGCAAGUCGAACGAAGAGCGAUGGAAGCUUGCUUCUAUCAAUCUUAGUGGCGAACGGGUGAGUAACGCGUAAUCAACCUGCCCUUCAGAGGGGGACAACAGUUGGAAACGACUGCUAAUACCGCAUACGAUCUAAUCUCGGCAUCGAGGAUAGAUGAAAGGUGGCCUCUACAUGUAAGCUAUCACUGAAGGAGGGGAUUGCGUCUGAUUAGCUAGUUGGAGGGGUAACGGCCCACCAAGGCGAUGAUCAGUAGCCGGUCUGAGAGGAUGAACGGCCACAUUGGGACUGAGACACGGCCCAGACUCCUAUGGGAGGCAGCAGUGGGGAAUCUUACGCAAUGGACGAAAGUCUGACGGAGCAACGCCGCGUGAGUGAUGACGGCCUUCGGGUUGUAAAGCUCUGUUAAUCGGGAAGAAAGGCCUUCUUGCGAAUAGUGAGAAGGAUUGACGGUACCGGAAUAGAAAGCCACGGCUAACUACGUG
Molecule: ribosomal RNA, 510 nt
Filed under: uncultured bacterium
Lineage: Bacteria
Description: partial 16S ribosomal RNA
Rfam family: Bacterial small subunit ribosomal RNA
Source: RNAcentral